This 534-nucleotide long non-coding RNA is filed under the name Apteryx haastii (Great spotted kiwi). RNAcentral's name for it is "lncRNA (ENSAHAG00000017552.1)". The record is from RNAcentral. Lineage: Eukaryota; Metazoa; Chordata; Aves; Apterygiformes; Apterygidae.
AUGCCUGGACUGAUAAAAGAUGGCAUGCAAACAUGGAUCUCUCUGGGGCUGUGGCAAGGGAUUUAUUGGCUCCCUGAGAACAGUGGAAGAGUUUCUGUCCUGACCCACAACAUGAUGGAUGUUCAGACAAGAGGUUUCAGGAAUAGCACAACAGCAGUUCUGUGGGCAGUAGACAUAAUAGAAGACAGAUGCUUUUGCGGUAUCCUGUCUCUCUAUUGCCUGGACCUCUGGAAGACAGAAGAGUGAGAAUCAGCAGUGAUCGUUUUCCUGCAAACGCAAUUUGAGGAACUACUUUGACAACCGAUAGAAAAACAACUACCUUGCAGCAUGACCACAGCAAGUGCAUUUUCUUUCUGACAAUGUAUAAUUGCACUGUGUCCCUGGUGAGGAAUGAUGCCAGAAUGGCCAUCUGAUUAUCUGUAUUCAUUUCUCAUACUGUAACCAAGUUGUUUAUUUUCCACAAAUGUUCAUGCAAAAAUGCAGGGAUUCUCCAUGUAGAAUAAAGUAGGCCUACAAAGUAAGGAAGGACUGGUA